This 163-nucleotide small nuclear RNA is filed under the name Microcebus murinus (gray mouse lemur). Its description in RNAcentral is "U1 spliceosomal RNA (ENSMICG00000047592.1)". It matches the Rfam family "U1 spliceosomal RNA". From Rfam's summary of the family: U1 is a small nuclear RNA (snRNA) component of the spliceosome (involved in pre-mRNA splicing). The record is from Rfam by way of RNAcentral. Lineage: Eukaryota; Metazoa; Chordata; Mammalia; Primates; Cheirogaleidae.
ACACUUAGCGGGCAGAGGAGAUACCAUGAUAAUGAAGGUGGUUUUCCCAUGGCGAGGCUUAUCCAUUGCAUUCUGGAUGUGCUGACCCCUAGGAUUCCCCAAGUAUGGGAAACUCAACUGCAUAAUUUGUGAUAGUGGUGGACUAUGUUCGCGCUUUCCCCUG